UAGAGGAAGCUUGCUUCCUUGAGACCGGCGCACGGGUGCGUAACGCGUAUGCAAUCUACCUUGUACAGAGGAAUAGCCCAGAGAAAUUUGGAUUAAUGCCUCAUAGUAUGUUGAUUUGGCAUCAAGACAACAUUAAAGAUUUAUCGGUACAAGAUGAGCAUGCGUCCCAUUAGUUAGUUGGUAAGGUAACGGCUUACCAAGACGAUGAUGGGUAGGGGUCCUGAGAGGGAGAUCCCCCACACUGGUACUGAGACACGGACCAGACUCC
Molecule: ribosomal RNA, 268 nt
Filed under: unidentified marine bacterioplankton
Lineage: Bacteria
Description: partial 16S ribosomal RNA
Rfam family: Bacterial small subunit ribosomal RNA
Source: RNAcentral